RNAcentral lists this ribosomal RNA (470 nucleotides) under Lodderomyces parapsilosis. Its description in RNAcentral is "eukaryotic LSU rRNA". The stretch from base 132 to 285 matches the Rfam family "5.8S ribosomal RNA". Lineage: Eukaryota; Fungi; Ascomycota; Pichiomycetes; Serinales; Debaryomycetaceae. The record is from RNAcentral.
UACUGCAUUUUUUCUUACACAUGUGUUUUUCUUUUUGAAAACUUUGCUUUGGUAGGCCUUCUAUAUGGGGCCUGCCAGAGAUUAAACUCAACCAAAUUUUAUUUAAUGUCAACCGAUUAUUUAAUAGUCAAAACUUUCAACAACGGAUCUCUUGGUUCUCGCAUCGAUGAAGAACGCAGCGAAAUGCGAUAAGUAAUAUGAAUUGCAGAUAUUCGUGAAUCAUCGAAUCUUUGAACGCACAUUGCGCCCUUUGGUAUUCCAAAGGGCAUGCCUGUUUGAGCGUCAUUUCUCCCUCAAACCCUCGGGUUUGGUGUUGAGCGAUACGCUGGGUUUGCUUGAAAGAAAGGCGGAGUAUAAACUAAUGGAUAGGUUUUUUCCACUCAUUGGUACAAACUCCAAAACUUCUUCCAAAUUCGACCUCAAAUCAGGUAGGACUACCCGCUGAACUUAAGCAUAUCAAUAGCCGGAGG